RNAcentral lists this ribosomal RNA (45 nucleotides) under Polystachya galeata. Its description in RNAcentral is "partial 26S ribosomal RNA". RNAcentral also lists the same sequence under 6 other names. Lineage: Eukaryota; Viridiplantae; Streptophyta; Magnoliopsida; Asparagales; Orchidaceae. The record is from RNAcentral.
GCGACCCCAGGAUGGGCGAGGCCACCCGCUGAGUUUAAGCAUAUC